RNAcentral lists this long non-coding RNA (2383 nucleotides) under Homo sapiens (human). RNAcentral's name for it is "CTBP1 divergent transcript". The record is from RNAcentral. Lineage: Eukaryota; Metazoa; Chordata; Mammalia; Primates; Hominidae.
AGCUAAUUUUAUGUAUUUUUAGUAGAGAUGGGGUUUCACCAUGUUGGUCAGGCUGGUCUUGAACUCCUGACCUCAGGUGAUCCACCCACGUCAGGCUCCCAAAGUGCUGAGAUUACAGGCAUGAACCACUGUGCCCAGCCGAAAACAACCAAGAAUUUUUUAACAAUAAAAUGACCAGCAAGUAAACUUGAAACAAAAAUGGACAAAUAUCUAAAAUAUUUUUAAAUAGUUUUAGGAGUUUUCUACAUAUUAAGGAUACUAAUUCCUGAUCACAUACACAACUUGCAACUAUUUUCUCCCAUCUAAACCAGCUGGAACCCUCUGGAAAGUUCCAGAACCACCAGCAUCAGGGUGGCCAAGACGUGGGCACUGCCAGACAGGGGACCAUGUGGGGCCAGAAGAAAUUAUAGGACAUAGCAGGUCUCAGACAUGACCAGAGACUGCUGCCAGUGGUGGAAGGCUUCCCUGAGCGUGAUGACCUGGCCACUCCACAGGAAGCCUCCACACCCAAGGUUAAAGGUGUCCAGCUGCGGCCAGGGUUCCGGGGUACCUGUGGAUCCCGUGACGUGGCACCGAAGAUCUGAGCUGUGCAGAGGAGCUGCACCACAGAGGCCAGGUUUCCGUGUGGAGAACGCGCAUAAUGGGAGGCCUUGAGCUGAGACCCAGCCCCCGACCCCCACCCCCACCCACCAGCAGGGGAUUCUCCUCAGGGCCUCACAGAGCACCACGUGGUGUCAUUGCUGGUCCUGCCAUAGCUCCCAGGACCAAUGCUUCCCAGAACUCCCUGCUACAUAAAUACAUCCGGUCCCUUUCCCUCGAGAUCUUGAAAAGUGAAGACUUCACUUGGCAGUAACGGUAAAACAUUUCAACAUGGUAAGUUGUCAUUUUAUGCACACAUGGAAUGGUGGCCCAUAAAGGGCCUGGGGGUCCAAUAUCCUACAUACUGGACUCCUCAUUAGUCCUCUGAGUCUUCUGUUCCCCAACACACUGCAUUGGGAUCAAACUGAAUUUGCAGCCAGGCAUCAUAGCUCAUGCCUGUAAUUCCAGCACUUUGGGAGGCUGAGAUAGAGGAUCACUUGAGGCCAGGAGUCCAAGACCAGCCUGGGGAACAUAACGAGACCUUGCCUCUAAAAAAAAAAUUUUAAAAAUUAGCCUGGUGUAGUGGGCAUGCCUAUAGUCUUAGCUACUAGGGAGGCUGAGGUAGGAGGAUCACUUGAGCCCAGGAGUUCAAAGUUAUAGUGAGCUAAGAGUGCAUCACAGCACUCCAGCCCGGGCAACAGAGCAAGACCCUGAUUCUAAACACACCUAUACACACACACACACACACCCCACCACCAACAACAAUGAAAAACCCUGAAUUUACAUCCUUCACGAUAAAGUGAUAGCUUCUGUGACAUUUGCACAGAAUUCUGAGUAAAGUUGCCUUUUCAGUCACAUCUGUUAAUGUUGACAAGACAUAAUCUAAAAAUCAAGAGGAUGAGAAUAGAAGGACCACUUCCCUUCUAGUGACCUCCUGGACCACACCAAGCACCAACAUCAUGAGGAUCCAAGGAAUCUCUGGAAAGUUCUAUCUCCAGAAGAUACCCUGAGAACACUUAGGCCCUCCCAGACCACAUGAAGAACCAACGUCAUAAGGAUCCAAGGCAUCCCUGGAAAGUUCCUUCUCCAGAAGAAGGAUCCAAGGCAUCUCUGGAAAGUUCCAUCUCCAGAAGAUUCCCUGAGAACACUUAGGCCCUCCCAGACCACACCAAGCACCAACAUCAUGAGGAUCCAAGGCGUCCCUGGAAAGUUCCCUCUCCAGAAGAUUCCCUGAGAAGACUUAGGCAUGAUCUUAAAUAAAUAUUCCUGUUGUUUAAAAGGCCUUAAAUUCCUCAUAUUUAAGCUGUUGGGAGUCCCUUGCAAUUCCAUAUACACUUGAGAAUCUACUUUUAUUUCUUUGAACAGGGCUGUUGGAAUUUUGAUAGGCAUUGUGUUGAAUCUGUAGAUCACUUUGGGUAGUAUUGACAUCUUAACAAUAUUAAGUCUUCCUAUCCAUGAAUAUGGGAUGUCUUUCCAUUUAUUUAGGUGUUCUUUAAUUUCUUUUAGCAAUCUUUUCUAUUUUCAGCAUACGAGUCUUUCACCUCCUUGGUUAGACUUAUUUCUGAGUAUUUAAUUCUUUUAGAUCUUGUUGUAAAUGGCAUUGUUUACUUAAUUUCCUGUUUGAAUUGUUCAAUACUGAUGCACAGAAACAAAUGAAUUUUGCGUGUUGGUCUUGAUGUGUUGAUCUUGUAACUUUGCUGAAUUUGUUUAUGAGCUAUUGUACCUUCUUGUGGGUUCUUUUGGAUUUUCUAUAUGUAGGAUUAUGUCAUCUUCAAAUAGAGAUCGUUUUACCACUUCCCAUCCA